AAGGUUUCUUGAGCCUUCCUAACCUUACCCUUAAAUCCACUGGAUACCAGUGCUCUUAUGAAGUUCUUAGGAAUACCAGUUACAAACCUUGCCCAUGUUUUUCUCAGAUCUCUAACCACUGUUCAUACCAAACUUUCAUUUCUUGAUAAUUAGUGAUCUCAGUUGAUGAUUCCAUAAGCAAUUUGAAUGCCCAGUAGACAAUGUUUCUGAUUGGUCAUUAAUACUUUUAAUGUAUAUUAAAUACAAUAGAUUUCUAAUUGGUGAAAUUGAAGGGAGAGAUAAGAAUGGUUCUAUUCAGUGCUUACUCUCUUCAGAACUAGAGCAAGAUAAUUUUAGCUCUGUUUUUUGGGUUUUUUUUAUGUUUUUAUAUUUGCUCCAGAUUCUUUAGAUUCUAGAAUGUUUGAUGAGGCCAAAAAAAUUAUUUUGACAAAAAUUAGGUAAAAUUUGCCUUCAUAUUUGUUUUAAAAGUUUUGUAUAUUUAAUACUCCAGGAAUGGUAAUUUAAUGCAAACAAAGGGAGAGAAUAUAGAAUGAGAUUAAGAGUUGUUAAAAUUGCUUUUUAUCAUUGGCACAGCAGGUAAAAUGAUAGUACCCCUCUUCUGGAUGAAUGGAAUGGAAGGUAAUUGUCAGGAGAAUAUGAUGUCAUUCAUAGAUUCCUUGCUAAUGGUUAGAUGUCUGUUUUACUCCUUGACAUACUCUCACUAACAAAGUAUUCAUCACUUUGAUUCUUACUAUUGGCUUGCAGUCAAUGAUCCAUCUUUAUAGAGAGAUUUUAUACCUCAUUCUCCUUUUGGUCUAUGUUUUGACAAACCAGAGAGUGCUAAUCAAAGGGAAAAAAAACCUGUAAUUUAUCUUAGUUGUAGAAUUAAUAUUUAAACACUACAUAUUUUAUUCUCAGGUACAUAAGAUUUACAUUCCUAUUUACAGGCUCAAGUGCAGUGAAAUUCAUUGAUGAUGAGAGCUAGGAAUACAACUACAACUCCCAUCCUCUCUGUUACCUUGAAUCCUCCACUGAGAAAUUGUAAAUGUCUCCCACCCUGAUUCUUUUGACUUUGUUAUGAUAUUGAAAGCAAUUUUGUACCCAACGGGGCACACUAACAGAACACAUUAUCCCCUGAAUUAUAUUUACGGUAUCAUUUUGCAUUUAAUUAUUCCAUGUCAUCCUUUGCUACUUCACUGAAGAACUGUGAAUUCUUUGUAGUCAGGCCUCAGAUAAUUUUAAAAUUGUGGUAUUUGCUUUGGUAAGAUCCUCUCUAAUAGAAAACAGGCACUCCUUUAAUCUCAUUAAACUGUCCUUUAGAUAAUUAAAAUGGUUAUAAUAUGAAAUAUUUUUUGAUGGCAAGAGAUAAUAUACCAUGCCACUUGCUAUUUAAAUAAGAUCGUGGCAUUCACAUUCAAUUUUAAAUAUGUUUAGAACAGAAUAUUCCUUACAAGAGCAAUAAAAAUCAUUAAGUUCUUUAAGCUAUUAUAGGCUACUGCUUCCAAUGUUACUCUUCACCUACACCUAUCUGUUAAUAUUUUAGGAUAAACAAUUAGAAGAUGCCAAAUAUGCACAUAUUCUUGAAGAAAAGUGUUGUAUUUUUUGUGAAAGUUAUGGUAAAAAAUGGAGAAAAUAACUAGCUCUGUUUUGCAAUUUGAGGCUUUGGAGAAUAUACCCUUGAAUGACUUACAGGAAUUAUUCAUGCAAGGUGUUCUCUUCAGCAAACGUUUGGUUGAUUGGCCAAAACUAGCAUUAUCUUGAAAGAAUUUUCAAGUGAAAUUAGACUGUCCAUUCAGAUAUCGGUUGAAAAGAUUUUGGUCCAGCCAGUCUUUCAGCAUGGAAAUUUUACAAAAUUAAUUGGAUCACUCUUAUUUUGUGAAUUGCUCUGCUCCCAAAAAGCAGACAUUCACCACAUCAGAAUCAAGAAAGAGAAAAAAGAACAGUUCCUGAUAUUCAGAAGACAGUCUGGCAUACACAUCUAGGCUAUGUUAUUUUCCCAUUAGAUAUAAACAAUUCUCACAGAGUACCAGCCUCAGAUAAGGGUAUUCCUUUUUGUUUGUUUUUGUCUUUUGUCUUUUUAGGGCCACACCCACGGCAUACUGAAGUUCCCAGGAUAGGGAUCAAAUCAGAGCUACAGCUGCCGGCUUGUGCCACAGCCAGAGCAAUGUGGGAUCCAAGCCAUGCCUGCGACCAACACCACAGCUCACAGCAACGCAGGAUCCUUAACUCACUGAGCAAGGCCAGGGAUCAAACCUGCGUCCUUAUGGAUACUAGUUGGGUUUGUUAACCACUGAGCCACGAUGGGAACUCCUAUAUAGAAUAUUGAGUAGAGUUCCUUGCAGCAGGUCCCCAUUGACCAUUCAUUCCAUAUACAAUAGUGCUUAUAUGCCAGUCCCAAACUUGCAAUCCAUCCCUCCCCACCACCUUUCCCCUUUGUGUCAUUUCUUUAGACUCCACAUAUAAGUGAUAACAUAUGAUAUUUGUCUUUUUCUAAGACAGGAUUAUUCUGAUACCAUGAUAAAAUGAAACAAAUAGAAGCCACCUCAUAAUUUUGUCUAUGCUCAGACAAAAAUCAAGAUUGUUUUAAAACUUCCAAAAUAACAAAGCACCUCCCCCAUUUUCUGGGCAAAGUAAAUGCAUAUUUCUUAACUAAUACAAUGUAAAUCUUGUGUUAGUCUCUACUUUCUGUAAAUAAAUUUUACUGAGAUAGACAAUCACAGAGUUGCUUCUACUUUCUGACAGCAUGCAGUCUAGAGGGAACACUAGCCUCCUUACAUCUUCUCUCAAAUUACCCACUCAAAGCCCCAAUCCUAAUAGGGUCUUUCUAACACCUUCUUAUGGAGACACUCCAUGGUUCACCAUAGUCUGUGUCCUCCUUUGCUAUGACAAGGGAUAAGUCCAGUUUGUUUACCUAUAGAUGUGUUUUUGGUAAUAUUUUGCUUAAGUAUAUUAAGCGAAAGUGACAGUAUUUAAGGUCAUGUGGCAGAGAAAAUAGUCAUGGUCAUCAAAUUUCUAAGUUAUGCUUACUUCUUACUUUAAACCCUCUUAUGCCUGAAAAACCAAUAAAUGCACACAUGCAUAAAACCUUCUUUAACAUUUAAACCCAGAGGAAAACAGCAGAAAUUGAUACUAAUUUACUAUCAUUAUGAGAAAUAACACCUUCAGUCAGGAAUAACAAGAGGAAAAGUGUAUAUAUAUAUACAUAGAGAUAUUUUUAAAUUCGAAGAGUAAAAUGAAUCAAUGGUAUUUUCUUAGCUUUUUUCCUUGUUUUUCUUCUAAGAACUUGAGCCUCUUUUCUGGCUGGAGGCCAAGGGAAUAGCAGAAGCAGAAGGAGGAGGGAUUGGAAUUAGAGAGACUUGACCUGCAGCUCCCGGAUAGAGGCUGCAUGAUGAGGAUUGCGACAACCUCUAGGAGCCAGGACUACAUUCAGACUGACAGUGGGCACAGAAAUGGGGACUUCAGUCCUACAACCACAAGGAGGAACUGCACCCAGCCCACAAGUUGAAUGAUCUUGUAAGUGGGUCCAGAGCCUCAUGAAAGACAUGCAGACUUGCUGGCUCAACUUCAGCUUUAUGAAACUCUAAGCAGAGAACACAGUUGUGUAAUGCUAUAUCUUGACUCUGACCUACAGAAUUGUGAGAUAAGAAAUGGGCAUUGCAUCCAACUUCUAAAUGUAUAGUAAUUUGUUAUUGCAGCAAUAGGAAACUAAAAAUUAUCUCUCAAGGUCAAGGUUAACCAAAAGAUUUUGCUUUGCACCCUUAUGGGAAUAAUAUUUUUACCAGAAAAAAAAAAAGAUGAUUCUCUAGAUCAACAUCUAUUUUUGCUUCAUAUCCCUCUUUGUUUUUCCCUAGAAUCUAUAAUUCACUUUUAUAAAUUAAAAGGUAAUAGUCUAUUUUUACUUAGAGGAUGGGAAGUAAGAAAAGUGUAUAAACCAUGCCUCAAAGAAGUAGCUAGGCAAUAUGAAAGUGUGGUAAAGGAAUAGGGCAUGUGAGAAAUUUACCCAAGUAAAAAUUAAUCUAAUUAUGUGUGUAGAUAUAAGUUUUGUUACCCCAAAGAAGUUGGCACAAGAGAGAAGAAUCUCAGAAUUGUUAUAAUGAAUUGAUGAGGAGAUGAAUGGAUCCUGAAAAAGCUAUCAGGCAUUUGAAGAUGAUGAAGGCAAGAAAGUAGGAAUAAAAUACUGACUCUUGAUAUGAGUGGCUAGAAAGUUAUCCAGUCUUCAAAAGAAGGAAUUCAUUUUGAAACAGAUAACUCUUAAACAAGAUGUGUAAUUAUUUAUGAGUAUUAGCAAACAUUUUCACAUUUAUAUAUGUGUAUUUUAAAUUAAAAAGUACAUAAAAUAUACAUAUUUUUCAUAGGAAAUUAUGUUUAUAUUAUUACUAAUUAAUAUUUUUAAUAAAUUACCAACACAGAAAAAUGUUUAAUAUACUACAAAUAUCUGAUUCUGGGGAGACCUAAACAAGCAUUUGGAAAAGGCAACAGUUGUGCCCAGUCAGACACAGCUUCCAGUUUAUUAGGGAAUCAUACAACUACUUCACAAACAGAAAAUGUUUUUAAUUUGAUUUGUCAAGAUUUAGCCUCAAUCCUUUUAUUAAUGGCUUUUGAAUUCAGUAUGUUUUCUUGCAUUCUAUAUAAGACAAAAUAAAAAUAUCCUGUUUUUCAUUUGAGUUUUUUAGAAUUUCUUGGUUUUAUAGUAAAACCUAGAAGAUCACAGUCCUCACCUUGAGUAUAUCUCCAAAUAAUUUGAAAUUUCCAAAGGGAGUAAACUCAGCUCAUAGUAUUUUGAAUCAUUUAGAGAUUUCAUUUAACUACAUGUGUAUGAAACAUCUGACUAGAAUGGUUUAAUCAACAGUAGAUUUUAUUUUUCACCCACCAUCUCUGAAAGUAGGUGGCCCAAGUCUGUUGCAAUGACUCCACAGAUUCUUAAGAGUCCCUAUCACAUGUUAUCAUUCAAUUAUGCUAUUUUUAGUAGGUGUUCUCAUGUUUGUGAAAUCUCACAAAGACAUCUCAACAUUCCCAUCCUUUUAGGAAGCAACAAACUAGAUGUGGUGGAAAAGCAGAAGUAUUCCAACCAGCUCCAGAAACAUUCUAGUUGGCCAGAAUUUUGUCACUUGAAUUACUCCUUGUAAGAAAUUUAGAGAAAUGCAACAGAUAAUCUGCACAAAUAG
Molecule: long non-coding RNA, 5144 nt
Filed under: Sus scrofa (pig)
Lineage: Eukaryota; Metazoa; Chordata; Mammalia; Artiodactyla; Suidae
Description: lncRNA (ENSSSCG00030070621.1)
Source: RNAcentral